CCUACGGGAGGCUGCAGUGAGGAAUAUUGGUCAAUGGACGGAAGUCUGAACAAGCCAUGCCGCGUGCAGGAAGACGGCCCUAUGAGUUGUAAACUGCUUUUGUACAAGGGUAAACCUGAAUACGUGUAUUCAGCUGAAUGUACUGUACGUAUAAGGAUCGGCUAACCCCGUGCCAGCAGCCGCGGUAAUACGGAGGAUCCAAGCGUUAUCCGGAUUUAUUGGGUUUAAAGGGUGCGUAGGCGGAUUGAUAAGUUAGAGGUGAAAUUGCCGAGCUUAACUCGGGAACUGCCUCUAAUACUGGUGAUCUAGAGAGUAGAUGCGGUAGGCGGAAUGUAUGGUGUAGCGGUGAAAUGCUUAGAGAUCAUACAGAACACCGAUUGCGAAGGCAGCUUACCAAUCUAUAUCUGACGUUGAGGCUCGAAAGCGUGGGGAGCAAACAGGAUUAGAUACCCUAGUAGUC
Molecule: ribosomal RNA, 460 nt
Filed under: uncultured bacterium
Lineage: Bacteria
Description: partial 16S ribosomal RNA
Rfam family: Bacterial small subunit ribosomal RNA
Source: RNAcentral